This 281-nucleotide long non-coding RNA is filed under the name Panax ginseng (ginseng). RNAcentral describes it as "long non-coding RNA (PGIN_LNC009808)". The record is from RNAcentral. Lineage: Eukaryota; Viridiplantae; Streptophyta; Magnoliopsida; Apiales; Araliaceae.
AUACUUUUAUUUCAUAAAAUUCGGGAUCUCACAAUCUCCCCUCCUUAUGAAAUUUCGCCCUCGAAAUUUACGUACCUGAUAGUUCGAAGAGAUGAAAAUACAUUACUUUCUUUUCGGAUUGUACAUUCCUAGUUAUUUCCUCUCUAUCAUGCUUUUCCCAUUUCUCAUCUCCUGUAUUUCAGAUAUCAUUCUAGAAUAUAGUUUCAAAAUAAGGGUUAAUUGACAUGCCACAUAUUAUCCCUAUACUCUAACCGACCAGUUAAAUACCAAAUAAACUUAGG